AUGCUCAAGGCGCUCAACCCCACCCCGAUCCGGCUCCGCCCGGCCUGCCGCGCAUCCUCGGCCGGGUGCGCGCGCGCGGCGCGGCGAGGAGGCCCUCGGAGGGCGGUCCCGCAGCAGCCGCCCGUGCGCCGGCCGUCCGGCGACCGGUGCGUGCCGUGGCGCGGCGCGGCGCCCUCGGGCCCCGCCGCGCCGCCCGCGUCCCCGGUCGCCGCCCCGGCGCCUGGGGCCCGGGCGGGGGCGAAGGGCGAGCUGGAGGCGUUCCUCGAGGUGGUGCCGGCCAGGAUGCGGCGGGAGCUGGCGCUGCACCCGGAGGUCUGGGAGCUGGUGGAGGUCGUCAUGGACCUUGGCCGCCGCCCGCUCGCGCGGUUCCCCUCCGGGGACUGGGUCAUCUCAGACCAGCCCGUCACCGCCGACGACCUCCGCCAGGCCGUCUCCAAGGUAGGCAAUUUCUCCGAGGACAACCGAUCCGGGAUCAACCACUCGUUGCACAGGAUCAGCGCCAUCCGAAACCGCAAGGCUAACAUAAUCGGUCUCACUUGCCGUGUCGGGCGAGCUAUAUCUGGCAGCGCGGAGAUGAUCCGUGAUCUGGUGGUGGGGGGCGGCUCCAUAUUGGUGAUUGGACCUCCUGGAGUAGGGAAGACCACUCUGAUCAGGGAAAUAGCUAGGAUCUUGGCAGAUGAGGGUAAGAAACGUGUGAUCAUAGUGGACACAUCUAAUGAAAUAGGAGGUGAUGGGGAUGUACCUCAUUCUGGCAUUGGGCGCUCUAGGAGAAUGCAAGUUCCUAAAGUUACGAUGCAGCAUAACGUGAUGAUUGAGGCUGUUGAAAAUCACAUGCCGGAAGUUAUUGUGAUCGAUGAGAUUGGUACAGAACUUGAAGCAAUGGCAGCCAGCACCAUUGCUCAAAGAGGCGUUCAACUUGUUGGAACUGCUCAUGGGGUGACAAUUGACAGCAUAAUUAAAAACCCUUGCCUGCAAAUGCUUGUUGGUGGGAUUGAGAGUGUGACUCUUGGCGAUGAAGAGGCAAAGAAGCGGAAAGUUCAGAAAACAAUUCUUGAGAGAAAAGGGCCCCCAACAUUUUCAUGUGCUGUUGAGAUGGUGUCGAAGACUGAAUGUCGAGUGCAUCACAAGUUAGAAUCUACAGUUGAUGCUAUUCUUGCAGGGAAGCCUCCCAAGUUUGAAGCUCGCAUGAUGGAUAGCAAGAUCACCGAGUCAGGAGGAUCUUUGGUGAUAUCUGAGAGAGUGUCUGAAACAGAGCGCUUACCUGCGUAUCAUCAAGAUCUGGUCACCAGGGCGGUUACAUCAGAAGAUAAAUUCAUCGAUGAUUUUGGUUCCUCCAGGCAAGCAAAAAGCAAGAACAUCCCAUCAGACGAUAAUGUCAAUGGAGAUUUUGGUUGUACAAAGAAAACAAAAGGCAAACAAUAUGUGUCUGGAAGGCCUCCAGUACGUGUUUACACUUACCAGGUUUCAGAAGCUGAUAUCUUGCAAGUAGCAACAGUGAUGGGUUUUGAGGAUGAAUUGGACAUAACAGAUGACAUUGAAGCAGCCAAUGUGAUUCUUGCGUCAAGUUCUGAAAUGAAGCAGAAUCCGUGGAUCCGUAAUGUUGCCAAGUACCACAAGCUUCCUAUAUUUGUUGUUAAGACAAAUACGAUGGCUCAGAUAGUAAAGGCUGUCAAAAUGAUUGUUGGAAGAGAUAAACUUGAUGCACCGUCGCGCAAGCAACCUAAAGUUUUGGAAGGAGAGAUAGAGAUUGAAGAUGAUGCUCCAAAACGGAAGCCAUCAUUGGAGGAAAUUGAUGCAUUGGAGAUAAAUCAUGGUAGUUGCAUAACAGCUAUAUUGUACUCUGCAACCAUUCAGGAGGCCCGGCUGGCAAUUGAGUACAUUGUAAUCCCAGGCGGGGAGCCCGUCGAACUCCUCCCAAGGUGUUCAGAGAUUGUUGCUCGUCAGCUGGAGCUUGUAGAGAGCUACCAGCUCCUCGCCGAGACCUUCGGAACCGACCCCAAUUCGAGGCUGCAGAUUCUUCCAGUGAAAAUAGCAAAGAAGAGCUCGGGUCAGGGCGCUCAGGGGCCGACGUCCACCAAGAAGAACGGCUCGGAUCUGAUUGUCAGCGAGAAUGGUGGAGGCUUCAGCUUCUCCCGGCUGCCAUUUCUGCCGAAGUGA
RNAcentral lists this ribosomal RNA (2157 nucleotides) under Triticum aestivum (bread wheat). Its description in RNAcentral is "partial small subunit ribosomal RNA". The record is from RNAcentral. Lineage: Eukaryota; Viridiplantae; Streptophyta; Magnoliopsida; Poales; Poaceae.